Molecule: ribosomal RNA, 423 nt
Filed under: Sphinctogonia sp. F16-6
Lineage: Eukaryota; Metazoa; Arthropoda; Insecta; Hemiptera; Cicadellidae
Description: partial large subunit ribosomal RNA
Source: RNAcentral
AUCUGCCCUAUGAUUAAAUUUAAAUGGCUGCAGUAUUAUGACUGUGCAAAGGUAGCAUAAUAAUUAGUCAUUUAAUUGUUGACUUGUAUGAAAGAUUGAAUGAAAGAUUAUUUUUAUUAUUUUUAUUUUUAGAAUUUUAUUUUUAAGUAAAAAAGCUUAAUUGUUUUUUAGGGACGAAAAGACCCUAAAGAACUUUAUUUUUAAUGUUUUUAUUAAUUUUUAAUUAUUUUAAAAAUUUUAUUGGGGUGAUAAAUAAAUUUAACUUUAUUUUUUUAUUUCAUUAAUUUAUGAAUUUUAUGAUCCUAUGUUUUAGAUUAAAAGUUUAAGUUACCUUAGGGAUAACAGCGUAAUUUUAAUGGGGAGUUCAUAUUUAUAUUAAAGUUUGCGACCUCGAUGUUGAAUUAAGAAAAAAUAAGGGGGUAG